UAGAAGUGAUGUCACAUGCAUG
RNAcentral lists this microRNA (22 nucleotides) under Xenopus laevis (African clawed frog). RNAcentral describes it as "Xla-Novel-23_3p (mature (guide))". The record is from RNAcentral. Lineage: Eukaryota; Metazoa; Chordata; Amphibia; Anura; Pipidae.